RNAcentral lists this ribosomal RNA (117 nucleotides) under Cordylochernes scorpioides. The record is from RNAcentral. Lineage: Eukaryota; Metazoa; Arthropoda; Arachnida; Pseudoscorpiones; Chernetidae.
GUUUUCAUUGCCUACGUUGAAAACAUCGAUUCUCGUCCGAUCACCGAAGUUAAGCAACGUCGGGCCCGGUCAGUACUUGGGAGGGUGACCACCUGGGAACACCGGGUGCUGUAGGCU